UUUUCUCUCUUGCCCCAUGCAAUGAUACCUCACCUUUCUUUCCAUUUUCUCCCAUCUCUCUUCCAUCAACCCAUCCUAAGAACAACACCCCAAAAACCUAUCCAACAUCCUUAACUCCACACCCAUCACUACUAGCAACCCCACCACAAGAAGAUCAGAAGCCCCAUGCCCCCAUCGCUCAUCCUUCCUUCCUCCACCCUCAUAAAUCCAUUCUCCAGCGAGAUGCCACUACUCUUUGGCUUCCAAUGGAAGAUCCUUGCCGUUGGCACUACUUCUCCCUCCAUCACAUCCAGUUGAUGAAGAAAAGAAUAAACUCUCCCCGACCCUACUCUUCCUCUUCCACCUUUGGCUUUGCCAACAAUUCCAUCUUGUCUCUUCUC
This 380-nucleotide long non-coding RNA is filed under the name Elaeis guineensis (African oil palm). RNAcentral's name for it is "long non-coding RNA (EGUI_LNC038851)". Lineage: Eukaryota; Viridiplantae; Streptophyta; Magnoliopsida; Arecales; Arecaceae. The record is from RNAcentral.